AAAAAGACAAACUAUGGGUUUCCGUGCCAACGUUUGACUAUCUGUCUUAUAUGAAAUUUUUUUAUAAUUAGUAUUUUCAUUGUUGUUAGAUGAUAAAACAUGAUUAAUACUUUAUGCGUGACUUAUCUUUUUAAUUUUUUUUUUCAUAUUUUUUCAAAUAAAACGAACGGUCAAACGUUGUACACGAAAACCAUGGUUUGUCUUUUU
Molecule: microRNA precursor, 207 nt
Organism: Oryza rufipogon (brownbeard rice)
Lineage: Eukaryota; Viridiplantae; Streptophyta; Magnoliopsida; Poales; Poaceae
Rfam family: MIR812 microRNA precursor family
Source: Rfam